RNAcentral lists this ribosomal RNA (1401 nucleotides) under unidentified. RNAcentral's name for it is "bacterial SSU rRNA". It matches the Rfam family "Bacterial small subunit ribosomal RNA". The record is from RNAcentral.
AUGCAAGUCGAACGAUGAAGCGGUGCUUGCACCGUGGAUUAGUGGCGAACGGGUGAGUAACACGUGAGCAACCUGCCCUGGACUCUGGGAUAAGCGCUGGAAACGGUGUCUAAUACUGGAUAUGAGCUCUCAUCGCAUGGUGGGGGUUGGAAAGAUUUUUUGGUCUGGGAUGGGCUCGCGGCCUAUCAGCUUGUUGGUGAGGUAAUGGCUUACCAAGGCGUCGACGGGUAGCCGGCCUGAGAGGGUGACCGGCCACACUGGGACUGAGACACGGCCCAGACUCCUACGGGAGGCAGCAGUGGGGAAUAUUGCACAAUGGGCGGAAGCCUGAUGCAGCAACGCCGCGUGAGGGAUGACGGCCUUCGGGUUGUAAACCUCUUUUAGCAGGGAAGAAGCGUGAGUGACGGUACCUGCAGAAAAAGCGCCGGCUAACUACGUGCCAGCAGCCGCGGUAAUACGUAGGGCGCAAGCGUUAUCCGGAAUUAUUGGGCGUAAAGAGCUCGUAGGCGGUUUGUCGCGUCUGCUGUGAAAUCCCGAGGCUCAACCUCGGGUCUGCAGUGGGUACGGGCAGACUAGAGUGCGGUAGGGGAGAUUGGAAUUCCUGGUGUAGCGGUGGAAUGCGCAGAUAUCAGGAGGAACACCGAUGGCGAAGGCAGAUCUCUGGGCCGUAACUGACGCUGAGGAGCGAAAGGGUGGGGAGCAAACAGGCUUAGAUACCCUGGUAGUCCACCCCGUAAACGUUGGGAACUAGUUGUGGGGACCAUUCCACGGUUUCCGUGACGCAGCUAACGCAUUAAGUUCCCCGCCUGGGGAGUACGGCCGCAAGGCUAAAACUCAAAGGAAUUGACGGGGACCCGCACAAGCGGCGGAGCAUGCGGAUUAAUUCGAUGCAACGCGAAGAACCUUACCAAGGCUUGACAUACACCAGAACACCGUAGAAAUACGGGACUCUUUGGACACUGGGUGAACAGGUGGUGCAUGGUUGUCGUCAGCUCGUGGUCGUGAGAUGUUGGGUUAAGUCCCGCAACGAGCGCAACCCUCGUUCUAUGUUGCCAGCACGUUAUGGUGGGAACUCAUGGGAUACUGCCGGGGUCAACUCGGAGGAAGGUGGGGAUGACGUCAAAUCAUCAUGCCCCUUAUGUCUUGGGCUUCACGCAUGCUACAAUGGCCGGUACAAAGGGCUGCAAUACCGUGAGGUGGAGCGAAUCCCAAAAAGCCGGUCCCAGUUCGGAUUGAGGUCUGCAACUCGACCUCAUGAAGUCGGAGUCGCUAGUAAUCGCAGAUCAGCAACGCUGCGGUGAAUACGUUCCCGGGUCUUGUACACACCGCCCGUCAAGUCAUGAAAGUCGGUAACACCUGAAGCCGGUGGCCCAACCCUUGUGGAGGGAGCCGUCGAAGGUG